RNAcentral lists this ribosomal RNA (468 nucleotides) under uncultured bacterium. RNAcentral describes it as "partial 16S ribosomal RNA". It matches the Rfam family "Bacterial small subunit ribosomal RNA", at positions 28 to 507 of the family's 1533-position model. The record is from RNAcentral.
GACGAACGCUGGCGGCGUGCUUAACACAUGCAAGUCGAACGGAAAGGCCCUGCUUUUGUGGGGUGCUCGAGUGGCGAACGGGUGAGUAACACGUGAGUAACCUGCCCUUGACUUUGGGAUAACUUCAGGAAACUGGGGCUAAUACCGGGUAGGAGCUCCUGCUGCAUGGUGGGGGUUGGAAAGUUUCGGCGGUUGGGGAUGGACUCGCGGCUUAUCAGCUUGUUGGUGGGGUAGUGGCUUACCAAGGCUUUGACGGGUAGCCGGCCUGAGAGGGUGACCGGCCACAUUGGGACUGAGAUACGGCCCAGACUCCUACGGGAGGCAGCAGUGGGGAAUAAUGCACAAUGGGCGGAAGCCUGAUGCAGCAACGCCGCGUGCGGGAUGACGGCCUUCGGGUUGUAAACCGCUUUCGCCUGUGACGAAGCGUGAGUGACGGUAAUGGGUAAAGAAGCACCGGCUAACUACGUG